GGGGACGUAAUAGGCAUCGACGGGAAGUACUUUGACACCUUGCAAGCCGAGAAUGACUAAAUCUCGCUAAACUAGUCAAAAACCUAAGUGCAGAUAAAACUGACACUUCCAGGUUUGCGGGUCGCGGACUAGCGUUUGCGUACGCGUAAGCCGGGUGUCUCUCUUUUGGUUUCUUAAGCCUGAGGGAAGAGGCAUAAUAUAGCUUAAGAUGCAGUUUGUGGCUAAUGACUAACAGCCAAAAACUAAAGACUCGUUGGUCAAAUUGUUUGUUAUUUUUAACAAAACAAGCUUGUAGAUAAGGUGCUAAAUGCUUUCACGGACGCGGGUUCGACUCCCGCCGUCUCCACCC
Molecule: transfer-messenger RNA, 349 nt
Filed under: Patescibacteria group
Lineage: Bacteria
Also listed under: 2 other names
Description: 01-FULL-44-24b sp001793235 Standard tmRNA
Rfam family: transfer-messenger RNA
About the family: Bacterial tmRNA, also known as 10Sa RNA or SsrA, is named for its dual tRNA and mRNA-like properties.
Source: RNAcentral